AAUCCUAACCUGUAUCUUAGGCUGAUUUUGGUCCUUGGGAGGUAUCAGGAGGAACCACAAAAUUAUGUACCUUUUUUGUGGUAUGUACCUCCUAGGAGGCUAGGGCCGUUAAAAGACUUAUUAUAGUCUUAAUUGAUUUUAUUGGAAAGGUGAGUGGAUAAAACUGAACAGGUUUGCAGCAGCGGAGUAAAAUUAGUAUUUUUAUCAUUAUUAGGUCCG
RNAcentral lists this long non-coding RNA (219 nucleotides) under Setaria italica (foxtail millet). Its description in RNAcentral is "long non-coding RNA (SITA_LNC000441)". The record is from RNAcentral. Lineage: Eukaryota; Viridiplantae; Streptophyta; Magnoliopsida; Poales; Poaceae.